AAUUGCUUAGCUUAUUUAAAGCGUUUACUUUGAAAGUAGAAGAAAGAGAAAAUGCUAGUAAUUU
This 64-nucleotide transfer RNA is filed under the name Pseudodendrothrips mori. RNAcentral describes it as "tRNA-Ser". The record is from RNAcentral. Lineage: Eukaryota; Metazoa; Arthropoda; Insecta; Thysanoptera; Thripidae.